ACUAUCUGAUCGGGAGAACCGGUAAGCCCGGUGCCGAAGGAGCAACCGCCCCGGAAACUCUCAGGCGACAAGGACCGAUCGGAUUUG
Molecule: non-coding RNA, 87 nt
Filed under: Roseovarius pacificus
Lineage: Bacteria; Pseudomonadati; Pseudomonadota; Alphaproteobacteria; Rhodobacterales; Roseobacteraceae
Description: Glycine sequence
Rfam family: Glycine riboswitch aptamer
About the family: This family represents the bacterial glycine riboswitch. Glycine riboswitches usually consist of two metabolite-binding aptamers domains with similar structures in tandem.
Source: Rfam by way of RNAcentral